GACGAACGCUGGCGGCGUGCUUAACACAUGCAAGUCGAACGGAAAGGCCCUGCUUUUGUGGGGUGCUCGAGUGGCGAACGGGUGAGUAACACGUGAGUAACCUGCCCUUGACUUUGGGAUAACUUCAGGAAACUGGGGCUAAUACCGGAUAGGAUCUCCUGCUGCAUGGUGGGGGUUGGAAAGUUUCGGCGGUUGGGGAUGGACUCGCGGCUUAUCAGCUUGUUGGUGGGGUAGUGGCUUACCAAGGCCUUGACGGGUAGCCGGCCUGAGAGGGUGACCGGCCACAUUGGGACUGAGAUACGGCCCAGACUCCUACGGGAGGCAGCAGUGGGGAAUAUUGCACAAUGGGCGGAAGCCUGAUGCAGCAACGCCGCGUGCGGGAUGACGGCCUUCGGGUUGUAAACCGCUUUCGCCUGUGACGAAGCGUGAGUGACGGUAAUGGGUAAAGAAGCACCGGCUAACUACGUG
Molecule: ribosomal RNA, 468 nt
Filed under: uncultured bacterium
Lineage: Bacteria
Description: partial 16S ribosomal RNA
Rfam family: Bacterial small subunit ribosomal RNA
Source: RNAcentral